This 1324-nucleotide ribosomal RNA is filed under the name Salmonella enterica. RNAcentral describes it as "partial 23S ribosomal RNA". It matches the Rfam family "Bacterial large subunit ribosomal RNA", at positions 129 to 1496 of the family's 2925-position model. The record is from RNAcentral. Lineage: Bacteria; Pseudomonadati; Pseudomonadota; Gammaproteobacteria; Enterobacterales; Enterobacteriaceae.
CAGUGUGACUCGUCACACUAUCAUUAACUGAAUCCAUAGGUUAAUGAGGCGAACCGGGGGAACUGAAACAUCUAAGUACCCCGAGGAAAAGAAAUCAACCGAGAUUCCCCCAGUAGCGGCGAGCGAACGGGGAGGAGCCCAGAGCCUGAAUCAGCAUGUGUGUUAGUGGAAGCGUCUGGAAAGGCGCGCGAUACAGGGUGACAGCCCCGUACACAAAAGCGCAUGUGCUGUGAGCUCGAUGAGUAGGGCGGGACACGUGGUAUCCUGUCUGAAUAUGGGGGGACCAUCCUCCAAGGCUAAAUACUCCUGACUGACCGAUAGUGAACCAGUACCGUGAGGGAAAGGCGAAAAGAACCCCGGCGAGGGGAGUGAAAAAGAACCUGAAACCGUGUACGUACAAGCAGUGGGAGCACAGGUUUACCUGUGUGACUGCGUACCUUUUGUAUAAUGGGUCAGCGACUUAUAUUCUGUAGCAAGGUUAACCGUAUAGGGGAGCCGUAGGGAAACCGAGUCUUAACCGGGCGUUAAGUUGCAGGGUAUAGACCCGAAACCCGGUGAUCUAGCCAUGGGCAGGUUGAAGGUUGGGUAACACUAACUGGAGGACCGAACCGACUAAUGUUGAAAAAUUAGCGGAUGACCUGUGGCUGGGGGUGAAAGGCCAAUCAAACCGGGAGAUAGCUGGUUCUCCCCGAAAGCUAUUUAGGUAGCGCCUCGUGAAUUCAUCUCCGGGGGUAGAGCACUGUUUCGGCUAGGGGGCCAUCCCGGCUUACCAACCCGAUGCAAACUGCGAAUACCGGAGAAUGUUAUCACGGGAGACACACGGCGGGUGCUAACGUCCGUCGUGAAGAGGGAAACAACCCAGACCGCCAGCUAAGGUCCCAAAGUCAUGGUUAAGUGGGAAACGAUGUGGGAAGGCCCAGACAGCCAGGAUGUUGGCUUAGAAGCAGCCAUCAUUUAAAGAAAGCGUAAUAGCUCACUGGUCGAGUCGGCCUGCGCGGAAGAUGUAACGGGGCUAAACCAUGCACCGAAGCUGCGGCAGCGACGCUGAUGCGUUGUUGGGUAGGGGAGCGUUCUGUAAGCCUGCGAAGGUGGCCUGUGAGGGUUGCUGGAGGUAUCAGAAGUGCGAAUGCUGACAUAAGUAACGAUAAAGCGGGUGAAAAGCCCGCUCGCCGGAAGACCAAGGGUUCCUGUCCAACGUUAAUCGGGGCAGGGUGAGUCGACCCCUAAGGCGAGGCCGAAAGGCGUAGUCGAUGGGAAACGGGUUAAUAUUCCCGUACUUGGUGUUACUGCGAAGGGGGGACGGAGAAGGCUAUGUUGGCCGGGC